Molecule: long non-coding RNA, 384 nt
Filed under: Trifolium pratense (red clover)
Lineage: Eukaryota; Viridiplantae; Streptophyta; Magnoliopsida; Fabales; Fabaceae
Description: long non-coding RNA (TPRA_LNC012208)
Source: RNAcentral
CUUCUAAGUUUCCCCAAUCUACUGCUACCUCCAUUAACAAGAAAUUAAAAUACUGAAAAUCAAGUGGUAAGAAUGUUAAAGAACAAAGAAAAAAGGGUUAGAGGUUAAAAUUGCGAACCAAAAAGAAAAUAUAUUGUUGCAAUUUGGGAGUAUAUAUUUAUAGGAUUUCAAUUUGAAUUGAAAUCAUGAGAUAUUUUGGAUCAGAAGCCACAAAUUUUGGGACUAAAUCAAAAGUCUAAUUUUUAGGACUAAAUCUUUUUCGGACUAAUAGAAGCAAAAUUCUAGGACUAAAUCUUUUUUAUACAAAAAUCAUGUUUAAAAUCUUUAUUCAUAAUAAAUCUGUUUUUCAACAAAAAUCUAAAAGAUAGCAUUAGGGAGGAAAAA